GAUGAAGAACGUAGCGAAAUGCGAUAAGUAAUGUGAAUUGCAGAAUUCAGUGAAUCAUCGAAUCUUUGAACGCACCUUGCGCUCCUUGGUAUUCCUUGGAGCAUGCCUGUUUGAGUAUCAUGAAAUCUUCAAAGUAAAUCUCUUGUUAACUCAAUUGGUUCUACUUUGGUAUUGGAGGUCUUUGCAGCUUCACACCUGCUCCUCUUCGUUCAUUAGCUGGAUCUCAGUGUUAUGCUUGGUUCCACUCAGCGUGAUAAGUUAUCUAUCGCUGAGGACACUGUAACAGGUGGCCAAGGGAAAUGCAGAUGAACCGCUUCUAAUAGUCCAUUGACUUGGACACUAUUUUUAUGAUCUGAUCUCAAAUCAGGUAGGACUACCCGCUGAACUUAAGCAUAUCAAUAAGCGGAGGA
This 410-nucleotide unclassified non-coding RNA is filed under the name soil metagenome. Its description in RNAcentral is "partial contains 5.8S ribosomal RNA, internal transcribed spacer 2, and large subunit ribosomal RNA". The stretch from base 1 to 120 matches the Rfam family "5.8S ribosomal RNA", at positions 35 to 154 of the family's 154-position model. The record is from RNAcentral.